This 433-nucleotide ribosomal RNA is filed under the name uncultured bacterium. RNAcentral's name for it is "partial 16S ribosomal RNA". It matches the Rfam family "Bacterial small subunit ribosomal RNA", at positions 29 to 507 of the family's 1533-position model. The record is from RNAcentral.
AACGAACGCUGGCGGCAGGCCUAACACAUGCAAGUCGAACGAGACCUUCGUGUCUGCUUGCUCACGCGUGCGUAGCGCGGGGGAAGCGUCCCGUAUGUUCCGAAUAACUCCCCGAAAGGGGGGCUAAUACCGGAUAAUGUCUGCUAACCACAGAUUUAUCGUGCUUGGAUGGGCACGCGUUGUAUUAGCCAGUUGGUAUUGUAAAAGCCUAUCAAGGCGACGAUACAUAGCUGGUCUGAGAGGAUGAUCAGCGACACUGGGACUGAGACACGGCGCGGAAUACUACGCGAGGCAGGAGCGGGGAAUACUGCCAAACCGGCUAGAGCAUGAAGCAGCAAUGGCGCGUGAGUGAUGAAGUCCUUAGAGAUGUAAAGCUCUUUUACACGGGGUGAUAAUGACAGUACCGAGAGAAUAAGCACCGGCUAACUCCGUG